CAGUCGCCGCGGGAAAACGGAGGGGGCUAGCGUUGUUCGGAAUUACUGGGCGUAAAGCGCACGUAGGCGGCUUGGUAAGUUAGAGGUGAAAGCCCGGAGCUCAACUCCGGAAUUGCCUUUAAGACUGCCGAGCUAGUAGGUGAGAGAGGUAAGUGGAAUUCCGAGUGUAGAGGUGAAAUUCGUAGAUAUUCGGAAGAACACCAGUGGCGAAGGCGGCUUACUGGCUCAUUCUAGACGCUGAGGUGCGAAAGCGUGGGGAGCAAACAGGAUUAGAUACCCCUGUAGUCCCUGUCUCUUAUAC
Molecule: ribosomal RNA, 301 nt
Filed under: uncultured bacterium
Lineage: Bacteria
Description: partial 16S ribosomal RNA
Rfam family: Bacterial small subunit ribosomal RNA
Source: RNAcentral